GUUUAGUAUUUGGUCGUAGACCCGAAACCAGGUGAUCUACCCUUGGUCAGGUUGAAGUUCAGGUAACACUGAAUGGAGGACCGAACCGACUUACGUUGAAAAGUGAGCGGAUGAACUGAGGGUAGCGGAGAAAUUCCAAUCGAACCUGGAGAUAGCUGGUUCUCUCCGAAAUAGCUUUAGGGCUAGCCUCAAGUGAUGAUUAUUGGAGGUAGAGCACUGUUUGGACGAGGGGCCCCUCUCGGGUUACCGAAUUCAGACAAACUCCGAAUGCCAAUUAAUUUAACUUGGGAGUCAGAACAUGGGUGAUAAGGUCCGUGUUCGAAAGGGAAACAGCCCAGACCACCAGCUAAGGUCCCAAAAUAUAUGUUAAGUGGAAAAGGAUGUGGCGUUGCCCAGACAACUAGGAUGUUGGCUUAGAAGCAGCCAUCAUUUAAAGAGUGCGUAAUAGCUCACUAGUCGAGUGACACUGCGCCGAAAAUGUACCGGGGCUAAACAUAUUACCGAAGCUGUGGAUUGUCCUUUGGACAAUGGUAGGAGAGCGUUCUAAGGGCGUUGAAGCAUGAUCGUAAGGACAUGUGGAGCGCUUAGAAGUGAGAAUGCCGGUGUGAGUAGCGAAAGACGGGUGAGAAUCCCGUCCACCGAUUGACUAAGGUUUCCAGAGGAAGGCUCGUCGGCUCUGGGUUAGUCGGGUCCUAAGCUGAGGCCGACAGGCGUAGGCGAUGGAUAACAGGUUGAUAUUCCUGUACCACCUAUAAUCGUUUUAAUCGAUGGGGGGACGCAGUAGGAUAGGCGAAGCGUGCGAUUGGAUUGCACGUCUAAGCAGUAAGGCUGAGUAUUAGGCAAAUCCGGUACUCAUUAAGGCUGAGCUGUGAUGGGGAGAAGACAUUGUGUCUUCGAGUCGUUGAUUUCACACUGCCGAGAAAAGCCUCUAGAUAGAAAAUAGGUGCCCGUACCGCAAACCGACACAGGUAGUCAAGAUGAGAAUUCUAAGGUGAGCGAGCGAACUCUCGUUAAGGAACUCGGCAAAAUGACCCCGUAACUUCGGGAGAAGGGGUGCUCUUUAGGGUUAACGCCCAGAAGAGCCGCAGUGAAUAGGCCCAAGCGACUGUUUAUCAAAAACACAGGUCUCUGCUAAACCGUAAGGUGAUGUAUAGGGGCUGACGCCUGCCCGGUGCUGGAAGGUUAAGAGGAGUGGUUAGCUUCUGCGAAGCUACGAAUCGAAGCCCCAGUAAACGGCGGCCGUAACUAUAACGGUCCUAAGGUAGCGAAAUUCCUUGUCGGGUAAGUUCCGACCCGCACGAAAGGCGUAACGAUUUGGGCACUGUCUCAACGAGAGACUCGGUGAAAUCAUAGUACCUGUGAAGAUGCAGGUUACCCGCGACAGGACGGAAAGACCCCGUGGAGCUUUACUGUAGCCUGAUAUUGAAAUUCGGCACAGCUUGUACAGGAUAGGUAGGAGCCUUUGAAACGUGAGCGCUAGCUUACGUGGAGGCGCUGGUGGGAUACUACCCUAGCUGUGUUGGCUUUCUAACCCGCACCACUUAUCGUGGUGGGAGACAGUGUCAGGCGGGCAGUUUGACUGGGGCGGUCGCCUCCUAAAAGGUAACGGAGGCGCUCAAAGGUUCCCUCAGAAUGGUUGGAAAUCAUUCAUAGAGUGUAAAGGCAUAAGGGAGCUUGACUGCGAGACCUACAAGUCGAGCAGGGUCGAAAGACGGACUUAGUGAUCCGGUGGUUCCGCAUGGAAGGGCCAUCGCUCAACGGAUAAAAGCUACCCCGGGGAUAACAGGCUUAUCUCCCCCAAGAGUUCACAUCGACGGGGAGGUUUGGCACCUCGAUGUCGGCUCAUCGCAUCCUGGGGCUGUAGUCGGUCCCAAGGGUUGGGCUGUUCGCCCAUUAAAGCGGUACGCGAGCUGGGUUCAGAACGUCGUGAGACAGUUCGGUCCCUAUCCGUCGUGGGCGUAGGAAAUUUGAGAGGAGCUGUCCUUAGUACGAGAGGACCGGGAUGGACAUACCUCUGGUGUACCAGUUGUCGUGCCAACGGCAUAGCUGGGUAGCUAUGUGUGGACGGGAUAAGUGCUGAAAGCAUCUAAGCAUGAAGCCCCCCUCAAGAUGAGAUUUCCCAACUUCGGUUAUAAGAUCCCUCAAAGAUGAUGAGGUUAAUAGGUUCGAGGUGGAAGCAUGGUGACAUGUGGAGCUGACGAAUACUAA
RNAcentral lists this ribosomal RNA (2208 nucleotides) under Staphylococcus aureus. RNAcentral's name for it is "partial 23S ribosomal RNA". It matches the Rfam family "Bacterial large subunit ribosomal RNA", at positions 694 to 2904 of the family's 2925-position model. The record is from RNAcentral. Lineage: Bacteria; Bacillati; Bacillota; Bacilli; Caryophanales; Staphylococcaceae.